Rhododendron vialii is the source of this 2692-nucleotide long non-coding RNA. RefSeq lists it as uncharacterized. The record is from RefSeq and is a predicted model, not a curated record. The transcript has 5 exons. NCBI's taxonomy places the organism in Eukaryota, Viridiplantae, Streptophyta, Magnoliopsida, Ericales, Ericaceae.
AAACCAUUUCAAACCGUGUAUUCAAAUCCCCCCCCCCCCCCUCUCAGCCCUGUUUCUCUUCUCUGCAAUCCACCCAAAACCAACAAUCUCUCUCUCUCUCCACACCGAGCCACCAAUCUCACGCUAUCUCGCCAAACCCACCCACCGACCUACCAAUCUCACUGAAUCUCCUUCCGUCUCCCUCUGGAUUCAUCGGUACAGAGCAGAAUUGGUUGGAGGAUGCUGUGCACCUAUCUCACCAUAAAUCAAAGGGGAAACCCCGUAGCGAAUUCACCGGGUUUGAAAUGAUGCAUAGUGGCUUUCAGUGCAAUGAAGCGUCAACGAGCAAAGCAGAGAGGGGCUUCAUCGUAAGCCGAUGCCCAGUGCCUUAAAUUUCAGGUCGACUAUCGCUGACUAAUCUCCUAUCAAAGUUUGAGGAUUUCUUUUCUAUUGAAGGAGAUAUUGUAGAAGAACAAUUCGCUUCACUCUUUCGGUUGUCGUGCAUUCUCCUAGAUGGAGGCAUUAGACAAAGACUUUUGAGAGGCAUAUUGAGACGUAUUUUGGAUAGCCGUAUUGAGAAGCAUUUGAGGAAUUUUUUAGAGGCAUGUUGAAGACUUUUGAACUUAAAUACAACUCAAGUACAUGAAUUGCGAGGCUUCCGAUCCGUAAGUCUGAAACUACCUUAUUACGCAUUUGGCUAGUGUGCUUAGAUGUACUUAUGUUGUUAAAUGUAGAGCAUUGGCUGGUGUGCUUAGAUUUGCUCUUAUGUUGUUACAUGCAAACCAUUGACCGGUGUGUUUAGAUCUUGAGCCUGAUUUAGUUAAUGCAGAGGAUUGGCUGGUGUGCAUUUUUAAAUGUUGGAUGGAUGGUGUUUUUUGUUUUAUCAAGUCUUAUGUGUUUUGAUGGGGAGAGGAAAGCUGUUAGGGAUUUUAAGAGAGGGAAGGGGAAGCUAGGGAGAUCAUAUGUUAAGUUCAUAACUAUUUACACAGAGAGAUAUGAAAAAAGAUUACGUAUUUUCUGGCUCAUCUAUUUAAUUGUUUGAUUCAUUGAUAUUGUAGUUGAAUUUUGGGGACUUCAUUAAGCCUCCUGGGAUGGGGUGUCCAACUUGAGCUCCUACUUUAUUUUCCUUCAAAGGAAACUGAUUUAUGCUCCUAUUUCGGACUUGACACCAUAACGGGGGUGUUGAAUUUUAAAAUUUAGUGUAUGUAUUCAUGUCCUUUUUGUGGAAUCAAUAGUAGGGAAGAGUGGUUUAGUUUAAUUGUGUUAAGAACACGUCGCGUCGUGCCUUUGGGUAUGGACAAUUCAUAGAACACAAGCUUUAACUCUAGAGAAUUGAUGCUCCAUUGCAAAGGGAUAUUCAUAUAACAACCACAUUCCUUAAAACCAAGUUUUGUAUAUCUGUCGGGUAAAGCUUAGUAGAAUAGGGUGUGGGAAGUUAUGAGAUUUUCUUGAAAAAAUUAACCUAAUUUGGUUAGGUGAUUCACCAACACUCCUAGAGAUUGCCAUAUCCGUUUUAGACACUCCAAAUACACUAGACACAUCGAGAACAUGUACGUGUCCAUUGGUGAUUGGUUGUGCAGGAUGAUAAUUCAGGUGAUCCAUUACGUAUAGGGUUUUGGUAAAUAUGAUGUAGACUCGCCCUUGCAGACAAAUUCCACGGAAUUUUUGAGAGUGAGCAGAAUAGGUUUCAAAGUUGGGGUAAGGUUUGGGCCUUGGUUUUGCCUUCCAAGUUUCAGUUAUUCAUGAUUUGGAAAGUGAUCCACCGUAUUCUUGCAAUGAAAGAUGCUUUUUUGAGGAGAAAGGUUAGUAUUGACCCAGGCUGUCCCUUUUGUGGACAGGAGCUAGAAACAAUUGAGCAUCUAUUUCUUAAUUGUGAUUUUACGAGGAGAGUUUGGAGGGCUUCUCAUUUGGGCUUUGACUUCUCUAUAGGGAAACCUAUUGGAUUUACUGCGUGGUUUGACGGUUGGAUCAAGCAUGCCCUGGAUAAAGAGUUGAUUCAGGAGUCCAUACUUAUUAUGUGGUCGAUUUGGUGUAUGCAUAAUGAUGUGUUGUUCAAAUCGGCCAAGGCUGAGGUUGAUAGUGUGUUAAAACUGUUUUUCCGGACUAUUAUCUUCAUGCAGGGAAGCACUUGGGAAGCAUAGUUCUAAGGAUUUUGAUUCCGGUAGUGUGGUCACGGAUAAGGCCAAGGCAUGCAACUUCAGUUAUGCUUUUGUUACAGGAAGGAUGGUAUGGAGGUGGAUCAUGGGAUCUCUUUUGUCACAGAUGGUGCUUGGAUUGCGGGCUCAAAUAGUGGAGCUGCGGCUUGGGUUUUGGAAUCAAGUGGGGGGCCGGCUGUUCAUCAGUCUAUUACGUGUCUUGCUUCCUCAACUUCUGCAAUGGAAGUCCAAGCAGGAUUAUUGGUGCUGGAAUGGGCUAUUAAGGAGAACCUGGAGAGACUUUGUAUUAAGAUAGAUUGUGCUGUGUUUGUGCAAGGAUUGAAGGAUCCUUGUAGUGUUCCUUUUUGUAUUCGCACUGUUCUUGCAGAUUUUCAUUCGUUAUGUUCUUAUUUUAGUAUUGUAAAGGUUAUUAAGGUACCUAGACAUUAGGUACAGGUUGCUCAUGCCAAGGCAAGGGCGGCCUUACCGCGAUUGUAAUGUUUGUUUAUUGUAAUAUAUCUGUGUUUUAUGGCUGAUCAAAAAUAAAAUAAAAGAUGGAAGGAAGCUUCAUUAUACAA